CUACGGGGUGCUGCAGUGGGGAAUAUUGGACAAUGGGGGAGACCCUGAUCCAGCAAUGCCGCGUGUGUGAAGAAGGCCUGCGGGUUGUAAAGCACUUUCGGUUGGGAGGACUGCUUCUAGCACUAAUAUUGUUGGAAGUUGACGUUACCUUCAGAAGAAGCACCGGCUAACUCCGUGCCAGCAGCCGCGGUAAUACGGAGGGUGCAAGCGUUAAUCGGAAUUACUGGGCGUAAAGCGCGCGUAGGCGGCUAGAUCAGUCGGGUGUGAAAGCCCCGGGCUUAACCUGGGAACUGCAUCCGAUACUGUCUAGCUUGAGUACAGGAGAGGAGAGUGGAAUUCCACAUGUAGCGGUGAAAUGCGUAGAUAUGUGGAGGAACACCAAUGGCGAAGGCAGCUCUCUGGCCUGAUACUGACGCUGAGGUGCGAAAGCGUGGGGGGCAAACAGGAUUAGAUACCCCCGUAGUC
This 465-nucleotide ribosomal RNA is filed under the name uncultured bacterium. Its description in RNAcentral is "partial 16S ribosomal RNA". It matches the Rfam family "Bacterial small subunit ribosomal RNA", at positions 339 to 795 of the family's 1533-position model. The record is from RNAcentral.